UGUAUGCACGCGUGACUAAGUCGCUUUGGAUAAAAGUGUCUGCUAAAUGGUAUAUA
Non-coding RNA from Salmo salar (Atlantic salmon), 56 nucleotides. The record is from Rfam. NCBI's taxonomy places the organism in Eukaryota, Metazoa, Chordata, Actinopteri, Salmoniformes, Salmonidae.